RNAcentral lists this ribosomal RNA (231 nucleotides) under uncultured bacterium. Its description in RNAcentral is "partial 16S ribosomal RNA". It matches the Rfam family "Bacterial small subunit ribosomal RNA", at positions 103 to 334 of the family's 1533-position model. The record is from RNAcentral.
CGGGUGAGUAACGCGUGGAUAACCUGCCUCACACUGGGGGAUAACAGUUAGAAAUGACUGCUAAUACCGCAUAAGCGCACAGUACCGCAUGGUACAGUGUGAAAAACUCCGGUGGCGUGAGAUGGAUCCGCGUCUGAUUAGCCAGUUGGCGGGGUAACGGCCCACCAAAGCGACGAUCAGUAGCCGACCUGAGAGGGUGACCGGCCACAUUGGGACUGAGACACGGCCCAA